Myotis lucifugus (little brown bat) is the source of this 75-nucleotide non-coding RNA. The record is from Rfam. NCBI's taxonomy places the organism in Eukaryota, Metazoa, Chordata, Mammalia, Chiroptera, Vespertilionidae.
GGAAGUUCUUGGGUGGUGCACCCCAAAAUCGAGCUCCCUCCUCUCUUGUUCCAGGUGCGUUACCCAAGAACCCCA